Molecule: ribosomal RNA, 450 nt
Filed under: uncultured organism
Description: partial 16S ribosomal RNA
Rfam family: Bacterial small subunit ribosomal RNA
Source: RNAcentral
CACUCCUGCGGGAGGCAGCAGUGGGGAAUAUUGGACAAUGGGCGCAAGCCUGAUCCAGCCAUGCCGCGUGAGUGAUGAAGGCCCUAGGGUUGUAAAGCUCUUUCACCGGUGACGAUAAUGACGGUAACCGGAGAAGAAGCCCCGGCUAACUUCGUGCCAGCAGCCGCGGUAAUACGAAGGGGGCUAGCGUUGUUCGGAUUUACUGGGCGUAAAGCGCACGUAGGCGGACUAUUAAGUCAGGGGUGAAAUCCCGGGGCUCAACCCCGGAACUGCCUUUGAUACUGGUAGUCUUGAGUACGAGAGAGGUGAGUGGAAUUCCGAGUGUAGAGGUGAAAUUCGUAGAUAUUCGGAGGAACACCAGUGGCGAAGGCGGCUCACUGGCUCGAUACUGACGCUGAGGUGCGAAAGCGUGGGGAGCAAACAGGAUUAGAUACCCCGGUAGUCCCAUGA